GCGUAAUAGCUCACUAGUCGAGUCGGCCUGCGCGGAAGAUGUAACGGGGCUAAGUUGUAAACCGAAGCUGCGGCAAUAUCUUUUAGAUAUUGGGUAGGGGAGCGUUCUGUAAGCCGUUGAAGGUGUGUUGUAAAGCAUGCUGGAGGUAUCAGAAGUGCGAAUGCUGACAUGAGUAACGACAAGGGGGGUGAAAAACCUCCCCGCCGGAAGACCAAGGGUUCCUGUCCAACGUUAAUCGGGGCAGGGUAAGUCGACCCCUAAGGCGAGGCCGAAAGGCGUAGUCGAUGGGAAACGGGUUAAUAUUCCCGUACUUCUUACAAUUGCGAUGGGGGGACGGAGAAGGCUAGGUGGGCCUGGCGACGGUUGUCCAGGUUCAAGUGCGUAGGCUGAGUGUUUAGGUAAAUCCGGAUACUCUUAAGGCUGAGACACGACGUCGAGCUACUACGGUAGUGAAGUCAUUGAUGCCAUGCUUCCAGGAAAAGCCUCUAAGCUUCAGAUUGUAAGGAAUCGUACCCCAAACCGACACAGGUGGUCGGGUAGAGAAUACCAAGGCGCUUGAGAGAACUCGGGUGAAGGAACUAGGCAAAAUGGUACCGUAACUUCGGGAGAAGGUACGCUCUUGAUGGUGAAGUCCCUUGCGGAUGGAGCUGACGAGAGUCGCAGAUACCAGGUGGCUGCAACUGUUUAUUAAAAACACAGCACUGUGCAAA
RNAcentral lists this ribosomal RNA (710 nucleotides) under Vibrio vulnificus. Its description in RNAcentral is "partial 23S ribosomal RNA". It matches the Rfam family "Bacterial large subunit ribosomal RNA", at positions 1132 to 1829 of the family's 2925-position model. Lineage: Bacteria; Pseudomonadati; Pseudomonadota; Gammaproteobacteria; Vibrionales; Vibrionaceae. The record is from RNAcentral.